GGAGGCGUCGCAUAGUUGGUCUAGUGCGCCGGUUUCGAAAACCGGUAUACCGCAAGGUAUCGAGAGUUCGAAUCUCUCCGCCUCCGCCA
RNAcentral lists this transfer RNA (89 nucleotides) under bacterium. RNAcentral's name for it is "tRNA-Ser". It matches the Rfam family "tRNA". Rfam says of the family: Transfer RNA (tRNA) molecules are approximately 80 nucleotides in length. Their secondary structure includes four short double-helical elements and three loops (D, anti-codon, and T loops). Further hydrogen bonds mediate the characteristic L-shaped molecular structure. tRNAs have two regions of fundamental functional importance: the anti-codon, which is responsible for specific mRNA codon recognition, and the 3' end, to which the tRNAs corresponding amino acid is attached (by aminoacyl-tRNA synthetases). tRNAs cope with the degeneracy of the genetic code in two manners: having more than one tRNA (with a specific anti-codon) for a particular amino acid; and 'wobble' base-pairing, i.e. permitting non-standard base-pairing at the 3rd anti-codon position. The record is from RNAcentral.